GACGAACGCUGGCGGCGUGCCUAACACAUGCAAGUCGAACGGGAUCCGGGCUUUCGGGUUUGGUGAGAGUGGCGAACGGGUGAGUAACACGUGAGUAACCUGCCCCCUUCUUUGGGAUAACGUCGGGAAAUCGGCGCUAAUACUGGAUAUUCUUGCUGCAUCGCAUGGUGUGGUUUGGAAAGGGUUUCUGGUGGGGGAUGGGCUCGCGGCCUAUCAGCUUGUUGGUGGGGUGAUGGCCUACCAAGGCUUUGACGGGUAGCCGGCCUGAGAGGGUGUCCGGCCACACUGGGACUGAGACACGGCCCAGACGCCUACGGGAGGCAGCAGUGGGGAAUAUUGCACAAUGGGCGCAAGCCUGAUGCAGCGACGCCGCGUGAGGGAUGACGGCCUUCGGGUUGUAAACCCCUUUCAGUAUGGAACAAGGAUCCUUCUUUUGGGGGGUUUGAGGGUACGUGCAGAAGAAGCGCCGGCUAACUACGUG
RNAcentral lists this ribosomal RNA (481 nucleotides) under uncultured bacterium. RNAcentral describes it as "partial 16S ribosomal RNA". It matches the Rfam family "Bacterial small subunit ribosomal RNA", at positions 28 to 507 of the family's 1533-position model. The record is from RNAcentral.